CUUGACAUACUCUCGAAUAGUCCCAGUUUGUUUGAGAUGCCUUAAGUUUCGUCGGGCAAUGAAUUCCACAUUCUCUGGCAAAAACUGUGCCUUAAUCUCCCUCUUCAAGUCCUCCCAGCUGGUAAUGGUACACCACCCGGCUUGGAUGUCUUCAUACCAAGUCCGCCACCAUAAUUUGGCAUCCCCGGUUAAGUACAUUGUAGCCAAGAUAAUUUUGGUGUCUUCAGAGUCAGGCCGCACCACUCAAAAGUACUACUCGAUGUCGAACAAGAAGUUCUCUAACUCCUUUGCAUCAUGAGCUCCACCAUAACUUCGAGGCUCUGGUGCUCACAUUCGGCCUUGCCCACCAUCACCAGCAGUUGGAGUUGGUAUGGUACUGACUGCUCGGGUCAAGACUGCGACUCUAGCAGCUAGAUCAUUGAAUUGCUCCCGCAGGUGCUGGAUAGACUCCUGCGUGUUGUCGCUAAGGUUGUCCAUCGUCUCGAUGAGCUGCUCUUGAUUCAACUCCAAGCUAGUCAGAAGAUCUCUCAGGGAGAACAAGGGCACCAAGCCCUCCUCAAGCUGGGCCAAAUGGGUUUCCACCGUAGAGAUCCGCUCUCGAUGGCUUCACGGUUUCUCAAUGUCGGCUUGUCCUUCCAUAGGGGCUGAGGCGGCAACCAUUGCCUCCUCCUCUUGCAUCAUCCCAUUUGUCUCACCACUGUUCUUGCAUCCCAUCUGUGUUGCGCAGGUUCCUUCGAUCGUGCCUGCUCUGAUACCACUUUGUCACGGACUUCGCCUCUUGGACGAGCAAACCCGUGCGGCACCCCGAUGUCACCUGCACAAAGGAGCCAGCCAAAAUGCACCCAGCAAGAUGCAUAGAAAAAUACAAAAAAAAGGCACGGCAACAUGCUCAGAUAUGGCACUGUAAGAACAGUAUUUUCAUUAAUGAAAUCAGAGGAAUACAAGCCUAUACAACCACUACUCAGACUACAAUUAGGGGCUCAGGAGGCAGGGGAGGAAACAAUGGACACCGCAAGAAUCCGCAAGGAAACCGGCCCACUGGAUUGUUCUCGCCCAUCCUCCCAACACUAUACAAGCAGGGCAUCCACCCAAAUCCCACCCCGAGGGUUCCAAAUGAUCGAGCGGCAUUGCAUUUUCAUGGCUCGCCUUCGGAAGCCCCGACAUGAUGAAAACACCCCAAAACCCACCAAAAACAAGAAAAAAUGGUGUGGCGGCGAUUGU
This 1221-nucleotide long non-coding RNA is filed under the name Elaeis guineensis (African oil palm). RNAcentral's name for it is "long non-coding RNA (EGUI_LNC035734)". Lineage: Eukaryota; Viridiplantae; Streptophyta; Magnoliopsida; Arecales; Arecaceae. The record is from RNAcentral.